GUUUCACCCUCUAAAAUCCCUUCAGAGGAAAUGCUUUUUCGUUACACUUGAUUUUGUUUUUGUUUUUCUGUCAAGGUUAGCCGUGUCAAAAUGAAACCAAUGAGCACUCUGCCUCAAGGGUUCCAUUCAUUUUGAUCAAGAGGUGCCUCAUCUGAGGUCCGUGAUUUGGGCUGGCUUGGCACACCUGACCCCACACGUCCCCCGUCCCCAGACCACACCACCAAGCCUGAUAACAUGUUCCGCUUGACUGCCUCCAUCCCUCCUCAGGUGUCUCUACAUUCAACCCCCCCCCCCCCCCCCCCCCCCCCCCCCCCCAAACACCCUCAACCUGACCCUGUCCAAAUAUUGCCAAUCCAGGGAUAGCGGGGUUUAGGAUGGGCGGAUCAGAUGGUGAAUGGUUCUCCGGGUUUUGAAGAUGGAUGGAAACCUUCGAGGUGACGCUGGGGUGUGGGAACAGCAUCACAGGUCAGACUGACGUCAGGAGGAAGGCGUUAGCAUCCCGGAUGCAUAAUGACCCAUCUGUUUGGAUUAGAGGGCUACUCUCAGACUGCUGGGCCCGGCCUGCCUUUGGCCUGCAUUCUGGGAAAUCUCAUCCAAGAUGGGACUCUCUUGAAGCUCAAAGGAGAAGAAAAUACACCAUAAAAGUUGGAUUUCUCCACUGCUGCUUCUGAAACUACAGGCUUCAUCUCUCUACUCUAUUUUAAUUAUUUACACAGUGAUCCAUGGAAACAACAUUAGUUAAAAUUGUGGACCAGUUAUUGGUCCUGUGUUAUAUAGUAGCUAAUGCUAAUUAUAGAGAAAAAAACGUAAUUAAUUUGACUGUCUCCAGGGUCUCGUUGCUACAGUAUAUGCAUACUGCUAACAAAUGACCAGUCACAUCCAUAUCGUUUUACACAGUACUCAUUUUGAAAAUAUUUUGGAAAUGAUGAAGACAUUGCCUCAGGUCAAGCUUACCAUGUCACCAACAUCACAGAUGAUAGAUUAAUGUGUUGCAGGAGGAUGCAG
This is a long non-coding RNA of Esox lucius (northern pike), 1005 nucleotides long. NCBI's taxonomy places the organism in Eukaryota, Metazoa, Chordata, Actinopteri, Esociformes, Esocidae. The record is from Ensembl.